AGAGUUUGAUCCUGGCUCAGAAUCAACGCUGGCGGCGUGCCUCAGACAUGCAAGUCGAACGCGAAAGUUCCCUUCGGGGGGCGAGUAGAGUGGCGCACGGGUGAGUAACACGUAGGUAAUCUACCUUCGGAUGGGGAAUAACAACCGGAAACGGUUGCUAAUACCGCAUAAUGCAGCGGCACCUAAUGGUGACAGUUGUUAAAGCGGGGGAUCGUAAGACCUCGCGUCUGGAGAGGAGCCUGCGGCGGAUUAGCUAGUUGGUAAGGUAACGGCUUACCAAGGCUAUGAUCCGUAGCCGGCCUGAGAGGGCGGUCGGCCACACUGACGCUGACAUACGGGUCAGACUCCUACGGGAGGCAGCAGUCGGGAAUUUUGGGCAAUGGGCGAAAGCCUGACCCAGCAACGCCGCGUGAAGGAUGAAAUCCUUCGGGAUGUAAACUUCGCAAGAACGGGAAGAAUAAGUCGGUAUUAACACCACCGGUGAUGACGGUACUGUUUGUAAGCUCCGGCUAACUCCGUGCCAGCAGCCGCGGUAAUUC
RNAcentral lists this ribosomal RNA (539 nucleotides) under uncultured bacterium. RNAcentral describes it as "bacterial SSU rRNA". It matches the Rfam family "Bacterial small subunit ribosomal RNA", at positions 8 to 526 of the family's 1533-position model. The record is from RNAcentral.